GCACAAGCGGUGGAGCAUGUGGUUUAAUUCGACGCAACGCGAAGAACCUUACCUGGGCUUGACAUCCCGGGAAUCCCUUGGAAACAAGGGAGUGCCCUUCGGGGAACCUGGAGACAGGUGCUGCAUGGCUGUCGUCAGCUCGUGUCGUGAGAUGUAGGGUUAAGUCCCGCAACGAGCGCAACCCUUGUCUUUAAUUGCCAUCAUUGAGUUGGGCACUUUAAAGAGACUGCCGGUGUUAAACCGGAGGAAGGUGGGGAUGACGUCAAGUCCUCAUGGCCCUUAUAGGUGGGGCUACACACGUCAUACAAUGGCCGGUACAGAGGGUAGCCAACCCGCGAGGGGGAGCCAAUCCCACAAAGCCGGUCGUAGUCCGGAUCGCAGUCUGCAACUCGACUGCGUGAAGUCGGAAUCGCUAGUAAUCGCGGAUCAGCAUGUCGCGGUGAAUACGUUCCCGGGUCUU
RNAcentral lists this ribosomal RNA (460 nucleotides) under uncultured Smithella sp. RNAcentral describes it as "bacterial SSU rRNA". It matches the Rfam family "Bacterial small subunit ribosomal RNA", at positions 923 to 1382 of the family's 1533-position model. Lineage: Bacteria; Pseudomonadati; Thermodesulfobacteriota; Syntrophia; Syntrophales; Smithellaceae. The record is from RNAcentral.